UAUUAUAGUUGGUUUGGGUUU
Molecule: non-coding RNA, 21 nt
Organism: Caenorhabditis elegans
Lineage: Eukaryota; Metazoa; Nematoda; Chromadorea; Rhabditida; Rhabditidae
Source: Ensembl